RNAcentral lists this ribosomal RNA (253 nucleotides) under uncultured bacterium. Its description in RNAcentral is "partial 16S ribosomal RNA". It matches the Rfam family "Bacterial small subunit ribosomal RNA", at positions 524 to 776 of the family's 1533-position model. The record is from RNAcentral.
UACGGGGGGGGCAAGCGUUGUUCGGAAUUACUGGGCGUAAAGGGCUCGUAGGCGGCCAACUAAGUCAGACGUGAAAUCCCCAGGCUCAACCUGGGAACUGCGUCUGAUACUGGAUGGCUUGAAUCCGGGAGAGGGAUGCAGAAUUCCAGGUGUAGCGGUGAAAUGCGUAGAUAUCUGGAGGAAUACCGGUGGCGAAGGCGGCAUCCUGGACCGAGAUUGACGCUGAGGCGCGAAAGCUAGGGUAGCAAACGGG